GACGAACGCUGGCGGCGUGCUUAACACAUGCAAGUCGAGCGGUAAGGCCCUUUGGGGGUACACGAGCGGCGAACGGGUGAGUAACACGUGAGUAAUCUGCCUUUGGCUUGGGAAUAACUUCGGGAAAUCGGGGCUAAUGCCUGAUGUUUACUGUCUGCUGCAUGGUGGGGUGGUGGAAAGUAUUUUUUGGCCAGGGAUGAGCUCGCGGUCUAUCAGCUUGUUGGUGGGGUAAUGGCUACCAAGGCUUUGACGGGUAGCCGGCCUGAGAGGGGUGUUCGGCCACACUGGGACUGAGACACGGCCCAGACUCCUACGGGAGGCAGCAGUGGGGAAUAUUGCGCAAUGGGCGUAAGCCUGACGCAGCGACGCC
RNAcentral lists this ribosomal RNA (370 nucleotides) under uncultured bacterium. Its description in RNAcentral is "bacterial SSU rRNA". It matches the Rfam family "Bacterial small subunit ribosomal RNA", at positions 28 to 398 of the family's 1533-position model. The record is from RNAcentral.